GACUCAAAGAGCAUAAAAAUGAUAUCAAAGCCGGCAGAAUUACAAUGGCCCUAGCGGAGCAAGCAUAUCAUAACGAUUUACAUAUAGAAUGGGACCGCACGGAAAUUAUAAGGCCAAUUAAAGUACCAACACAGGCAAUAACCCAAGAGACAAUUAAGAUAUUAAAAGCGAAGGACACCCUAAUAAACGACAAGCCAUCUGCAGACUUACCAGCGGCCUGGAGGUACAUGUUAAGAAAUUGUAAAUGAAACCAUAUUAGACCAAAAGAGGGGAAGUCAUACGUGCAUAGAUACCUGCCAGUUAA
RNAcentral lists this long non-coding RNA (304 nucleotides) under Androctonus crassicauda. The record is from RNAcentral. Lineage: Eukaryota; Metazoa; Arthropoda; Arachnida; Scorpiones; Buthidae.